UCGGUGCGGAGCCGCGCGAGGUCUCUCUCUAUCCACCUACAGUCUCAUUCUGUUUUGCAAAGUGCACUCCAAAAAGGACACGGCGCCGGCCCCGCGUGAAAGCACGAACGAUGUCUCCGGCUGAACAGGAGCACAAAUUGUUCUGAAGAUGGAAGCCAGGGGAACAAAGUUUCGUGUUUCACCGGAAGCCCCUCCUUUCUCCCCCUAACUCGGCUUCAAGCGCAGCCAAGUAAUAAAGCCCUCACACAAGGUCACUGGUCUUGGUGACCGUGUGCAUGAAUUCACAUGUGCAGAAGAAAAGUAAAACACUUUUCCUGCACUUUCCUCCUACCAUGAAAUUAAAUUAUUGAACUUUUGAAGGCGA
Molecule: non-coding RNA, 364 nt
Organism: Macaca mulatta (Rhesus monkey)
Lineage: Eukaryota; Metazoa; Chordata; Mammalia; Primates; Cercopithecidae
Source: RefSeq, a predicted model, not a curated record